AGCGAACGCUGGCGGCAGGCCUAACACAUGCAAGUCGAACGAACUCUUCGGAGUUAGUGGCGGACGGGUGAGUAACACGUGGGAACGUGCCUUUUUGCUCGGAAUAACUCAGGGAAACUUGUGCUAAUACCGAAUGUGCCCUUCGGGGGAAUGAUUUAUCGCGAUUAGAGCGGCCACAGUCUCAUUAGCUAGUUGGUUAGGUAACGGCUCACCAAGGCGACGAUCAGUAGCUGGGUUGUGAGGAUGACCAGCAACACCGGGACUGAGACACGGCCCAGACUCCUACGGGAGGCAGCAGUGGGGAAUCUUGCGCAAUGGGCGGAAGGCUGACGCAGCCAUGCCGCGUGAAUGAUGAAGGUCUUAGGAUUGUAAAAUUCUUUCACCGGGGACGAUAAUGACGGUACCCAGAGAAGAAGCCCCGGCUAACUUCGUG
This 433-nucleotide ribosomal RNA is filed under the name uncultured bacterium. RNAcentral's name for it is "partial 16S ribosomal RNA". It matches the Rfam family "Bacterial small subunit ribosomal RNA", at positions 29 to 507 of the family's 1533-position model. The record is from RNAcentral.